This 1457-nucleotide long non-coding RNA is filed under the name Bemisia tabaci. RNAcentral's name for it is "lncRNA ENSASIAIIG007157". The record is from RNAcentral. Lineage: Eukaryota; Metazoa; Arthropoda; Insecta; Hemiptera; Aleyrodidae.
CCGACUUUUUCCCCUCACAUCAGCUAGCUACUUGUGUUUUAUGCGCAGAUAAUUUCGACAUUCCGUGCUACUUACGUCGAUUACUUACAUUCCGAAACCAAAAACCGAGCGGGGUUCGGAUAGACAAUAUAAUUUCUCGGGAAUUGGUUUUGCUCUCAGAAUUAUUAACGUCAGUGCUAAUUUUUGUGCGACUUCGAGCGAAAUGCUCCGCGCAAGUUGUCAGUAAACACCGUUGUUGAGUGCUUGUUAUCUCGUCCAUUUUUAGCUCUGAAACUCUGUUCGAUUUGAAAUAUUUUCAUUUGUGCUCUCUCUGGAAUUACUAUUCUCAUCACUGAUUCCGACGUUCAAAGCUACAGAUUCCCGGGACCAAGGCGGACAGGGCCCCGUCAUCCGCGUUCGGCCGUCACCCGACACGACACGAGCCGGAGCAACGGAAGUCUGGCCGGUGACGGGAGGAUGACGUCACAGUCGAUCGGUGACAAUUCCAGCGUUGCCACUUCGCCCCGUCAUCGGGACAUCUCCACCUACAGCUGCCUCUAAAUUCGCGACCCGGUCUGUGAUAAUGAUCCGCUCGUGGAAUAAACAGUGCGAAACCGUUCCUUUUUCCGUUCUCCUUUGACUCUCGAUUAUUUUUUGUAGUAGAUUGUUUCUGGUGAAAAAAAAAAAAAAAAAUAGGAAAAAAAGUACGCGAUGCGAUAACGGGCUUCCGUCGAGAGGGCUGUGUAGAAAUUAGAAAUGUUAUCUCGGGUAGUUAGUUGCAUUAUAAAAAAUUAAGUGUUAUCGAAGGGUCCUCUCGACCGCGCGCAACCGCUCCGAAUUCACGGAUCUCGAUUUGUGCUCGCGCCCACUCGUGGGUCUAAUCUCCGCGGGUUCUCACCUAAAAAAAAAUAUUUGUUUACAGAAACGGUAAAUCGGUUCUCGACUCGAAGUGCGUCUGUUUGAAAGUCGGACGUGUACGUCCCGAUUCGCGAGUGAAGUGACCGUGAUUGCUGCGAUUCCGAGUGCUGUCGGAGUCGGUUUAUAUCUUUUUUAUCGUCGCAGCGAUCGCUACCGGGCGGCUCUGUGAAGUGAAUCUGGAGUUUACCUCCGCGUGGUGCGAUUUGUGCGGAUCGGGGAGUAUCGAUGAAGUGUCUCUCUGCUUCGACCGCAGCAGGAUCGAACGCGUAGGCAGAGGGAAUCACAACAUCCUGAUAUCGUUUUGGGUAAGUGUCGACCAUCAAGAAUUGGUGCAUUCCUUGCUCCUAUGAACAAUUUUCGGGGCGGCUAGGAUGUUCAUAAAGAGAGCCCACCCCCAAAUGAGCCUGCUUGUCAUUUUCUAAAUGUAGCCACAGUAUUGGUAUGUACUCAAAAAUUAGUUUUAUGCAAAAGCACGUACGUAUUUAUUAAUUUUUAAAAUAACCAUUUUGGUCGGAAAAUAAAAAAAAAAUCCAGCAAGUUAGCUUCAAAAGGACAUUGUG